AUGGGCCGUCGUCAGUUCGUACUGUGAAGCAUCCUGUUAAGUCAGGCAACGAGCGAGACCCACGCCAACAGUUGCUAGCUCGUCCUCCGGGAUGGAGGAGGACACUGUUGGGACCGCCUCUGCUAAAGAGGAGGAAGGAAUGGGCAACGGUAGGUCAGCAUGCCCCGAAUUAUCUGGGCUACACGCGGGCUACAAUGGGUGGGACAAUGGGUAUCGACACCGAAAGGUGAAGGCAAUCUCCUAAAACCCAUCCUUAGUUCGGAUUGUGGGCUGCAACUCGCCCACAUGAAGCUGGAAUCUGUAGUAAUCGUGUUUCAAAUAGCACGGUGAAUAUGUCCCUGCUCCUU
This 347-nucleotide ribosomal RNA is filed under the name uncultured Methanomicrobiales archaeon. RNAcentral's name for it is "bacterial SSU rRNA". It matches the Rfam family "Archaeal small subunit ribosomal RNA", at positions 994 to 1338 of the family's 1478-position model. The record is from RNAcentral. Lineage: Archaea; Methanobacteriati; Methanobacteriota; Methanomicrobia; Methanomicrobiales.